This is a non-coding RNA of Paramuricea clavata, 245 nucleotides long. The record is from the annotation of a GenBank genome assembly. NCBI's taxonomy places the organism in Eukaryota, Metazoa, Cnidaria, Anthozoa, Malacalcyonacea, Plexauridae.
CCUAAAUUGAAUAUAAACCAACUAAUGUCAAAAACACUAUUAAUUAACGACCUAUUAAUGACACUCCCACUUUUUUGACAUUUUUAAAUGUUAAAUUAAACAAUAAGUUCUAGUCCAAGAGCAUAUCGUUUGGCAACUAGUCGCGCUUUGAAACUAUUUACUCUUCCAUCAGAAUCGUGCUUCGCUGUUCGACCGGGUGGCAACUGUACAAGUCUCCAGGUCUUGUUUUCCAUCAGUGAAUUGUA